GAUGAACGCUAGCGGGAGGCUUAACACAUGCAAGUCGAGGGGUAACAUGGAGUAGCAAUACUUUGAUGACGACCGGCGUACGGGUGAGUAACGCGUAUGCAACCUACCCUGUACAGGGGGAUAGCCCGGAGAAAUUCGGAUUAAUACCCCAUAAAGAUAUCUUAAGGCAUCUUUAGAUAUUUAAAGUUUCGGCGGUACGGGAUGGGCAUGCGUAACAUUAGCUGGUUGGUAGGGUAACGGCCUACCAAGGCGACGAUGUUUAGGGGUCCUGAGAGGGUGAUCCCCCA
Molecule: ribosomal RNA, 287 nt
Filed under: uncultured Bacteroidota bacterium
Lineage: Bacteria; Pseudomonadati; Bacteroidota
Description: uncultured Bacteroidetes bacterium partial 16S ribosomal RNA
Rfam family: Bacterial small subunit ribosomal RNA
Source: RNAcentral